CCAGUCAGGACACAGCAUGGAUAGGAGGGCCCCCGCUCAGCUCCUUGGGCUCCUGCUGCUCUGGCUCCCAGGUGCCAGAUGUGACAUCCAGAUGACCCAGUCUCCAUCCUCCUUGUCUGCAUUUCUAGGAGACACAGUCACCAUCACUUGCCAGGCCAGUCAGGGUAUUAGCAAGUGGUUAGCUUGGUAUCAGCAGAAACCAGGUAAAGCUCCUAAACUCUUGAUCUAUGAUGCAUCAAGUUUGGAAAGUGGGGUCCCCUCGAGGUUCAGUGGCAGUGGAUCUGGGACAGAUUUUACUCUUACCAUCAGCAGCCUGGAGUCUGAUGAUUUUGGAACCUAUUACUGUCAACAGUAUAAUAGUAACCCUCCCACAGUGUUACAAUCCCGAACAUAA
Non-coding RNA from Galeopterus variegatus (Sunda flying lemur), 394 nucleotides. The record is from the annotation of a RefSeq genome assembly. NCBI's taxonomy places the organism in Eukaryota, Metazoa, Chordata, Mammalia, Dermoptera, Cynocephalidae.